UACGUAGGGGGCAAGCGUUGUCCGGAAUCAUUGGGCGUAAAGAGCGCGUAGGCGGCCAGGUAGGUCUGCUGUGAAAACUCGAGGCUCAACCUCGAGACGUCGGCGGAAACCAUCUGGCUAGAGUCCGGAAGAGGAGAGUGGAAUUCCUGGUGUAGCGGUGAAAUGCGCAGAUAUCAGGAAGAACACCCGUGGCGAAGGCGGCUCUCUGGGACGGUACUGACGCUGAGGCGCGAAAGCGUGGGGAGCAAACAGG
RNAcentral lists this ribosomal RNA (253 nucleotides) under uncultured bacterium. Its description in RNAcentral is "partial 16S ribosomal RNA". It matches the Rfam family "Bacterial small subunit ribosomal RNA", at positions 524 to 776 of the family's 1533-position model. The record is from RNAcentral.